RNAcentral lists this ribosomal RNA (492 nucleotides) under uncultured bacterium. Its description in RNAcentral is "partial 16S ribosomal RNA". It matches the Rfam family "Bacterial small subunit ribosomal RNA", at positions 29 to 507 of the family's 1533-position model. The record is from RNAcentral.
AGUGAACGCUGGCGGUAUGCUUAACACAUGCAAGUCGAACGGCAGCACAGUCAUCGCUUGCGCUUCCGGGGGGCGAGUGGCGUGCGGGACAGGAGUACAUCCUAAUCUACUUUUUCGUGGUGGAUCACGUAGGGAAACUUACUCCAAUACCGCAUACGACGUACGGGGGAGAGCAUUGGAUCUUCGGACCUUGCGCGGUUGGAUGAGCGGAUGUCGGGUUGGCUGGUUGGGGGGGUAAAGGCCCACCAAGGCGACGAUCGGUAGCUGGUGUGAGGGGAGGGUCAGCCACACUGGAACUGAGACACGGUCCAGACUCCUACGGGAGGCAGCAGUGGGGAAUGUUGGACAAUGGGCGCAAGCAUGAUCCAGCAAUACCGCGUGUGUGAAGAAGGCCUUCGGGUUGUAAAGCCCUUUUGGGGGGAAAGAAAAGCAGUAGGUUAAUACCACGCUGUGGUGACGGUACCCGAAGAAUAAGCACCGGCUAACUACGUG